This 549-nucleotide ribosomal RNA is filed under the name uncultured bacterium. Its description in RNAcentral is "partial 16S ribosomal RNA". It matches the Rfam family "Bacterial small subunit ribosomal RNA", at positions 355 to 920 of the family's 1533-position model. The record is from RNAcentral.
UGGGGAAUAUUGCACAAUGGGCGAAAGCCUGAUGCAGCAACGCCGCGUGAGUGAUGAAGGCCUUCGGGUUGUAAAGCUCUGUCUUUUGGGACGAUAAUGACGGUACCAAAGGAGGAAGCCACGGCUAACUACGUGCCAGCAGCCGCGGUAAUACGUGGGUGGCAAGCGUUGUCCGGAUUUACUGGGCGUAAAGGAUGCGUAGGCGGAUUUUUAAGUGAGAUGUGAAAUACCCGGGCUUAACUUGGGUGCUGCAUUUCAAACUGGGAAUCUAGAGUGCGGGAGAGGAGAAUGGAAUUCCUAGUGUAGCGGUGAAAUGCGUAGAGAUUAGGAAGAACACCAGUGGCGAAGGCGAUUCUCUGGACCGUAACUGACGCUGAGGCAUGAAAGCGUGGGUAGCAAACAGGAUUAGAUACCCUGGUAGUCCACGCCGUAAACGAUGAGUACUAGGUGUAGGAGGUAUCGACCCCUUCUGUGCCGCAGUUAACACAAUAAGUACUCCGCCUGGGAAGUACGAUCGCAAGAUUAAAACUCAAAUGAAUUGACGGGGUC